Molecule: ribosomal RNA, 969 nt
Filed under: uncultured bacterium
Lineage: Bacteria
Description: bacterial SSU rRNA
Rfam family: Bacterial small subunit ribosomal RNA
Source: RNAcentral
AGAGUUUGAUCCUGGCUCAGAACGAACGUUGGCGGCGUGGAUUAGGCAUGCAAGUCGAACGAGAACCACUGGGCAACUGGUGGGGAAAGUGGCGAAAGGGGCAGUAAGGCGUGGGUAACCUACCUCGGGGAUGAGGAUAGCCGUUCUAACGGACGGGUAAUACUCAGCGAUCUGGCGAAGGCGCAUGUCUUUGCCAGGAAAUGAAUUUCGCCUCGAGAGGGGCUCACGUGAUAUUAGCUUGUUGGUGAGGUAACGGCUCACCAAGGCAAAGAUGUCUAGCGGGUGUGAGAGCACGACCCGCGCCACUGGCACUGAGACACUGGCCAGACUCCUACGGGAGGCUGCAGUCGAGGAUCUUCGGCAAUGGGCGCAAGCCUGACCGAGCGACGCCGCGUGCGCGAUGAAGGCCUUCGGGUUGUAAAGCGCUGUCGAGGGGGAGGAAAGCCGCAAGGUCUGACCUAUCCCUGGAGGAAGCACGGGCUAAGUUCGUGCCAGCAGCCGCGGUAAGACGAACCGUGCGAACGUUGUUCGGAAUCACUGGGCUUAAAGGGCGCGUAGGCGGUCGAUCACGUCCGGGGUGAAAUCUUUCGGCUUAACCGGAAAAGUGCCUGGGAUACGGAUCGGCUGGAGGGAGGUAGGGGCAGCUGGAACUUCCAGUGGAGCGGUGAAAUGCGUUGAUAUUGGAAGGAACUCCGGUGGCGAAAGCGAGCUGCUGGACCUCUUCUGACGCUGAGGCGCGAAAGCCAGGGGAGCAAACGGGAUUAGAUACCCCGGUAGUCCUGGCCCUAAACGUUGGGUACUAUGUUGUGGACUUGACAUGGGUUCACAGCCGAAGCAAAAGUGUUAAGUACCCCGCCUGGGGAGUAUGGUCGCAAGGCUGAAACUCAAAGGAAUUGACGGGGCUCACACAAGCGGUGGAGCAUGUGGCUUAAUUCGAGGCUACGCGAAGAACCUAUCCUGGACUUGACA